CCCCUAGCCCUAUCCCCUAUCCUUAUCCCCUAACCAUAUCCCCUAACCCUAUCCCCUAGGCCUAGGGGUUGGUUUGGGAUUCAGAGAAUGAUAACUGCCCUAACUAUCUCUAGGCUAGAACUGAUCCGACCUGCUCAUUAAGACAUGGAUGUAAUGAUAGUAUGACCAGGUCAUUACUAUCGCCACUGUGGUGAAACAAGUCAUUCUGAAAACAAAGAUGAAAUUCUAGAAUCAUGUUGCUUUCCGACUACGACAGUAAUGCAUUUAUUAAUUUGAUUUACUGAAUAGAUUCAAGUAUGUUUUUUUUGUUAGCUACACGCGUUAGCUACGUGUAUGCUACGUACGUUAGCUACGUGUUUGCUACGUGUGUUAGCUACGUGCGUUAGCUACGUGCGUUAGCUAUGUAUGUUAGCUACGUGUUUGCUACGUGCGUUAGCUACGUGUUUGCUACGUUUCUCCACUAUUUUGAGCAACAAAAAAAAUAAUCAAGAAAUAAAUUGUGUUGCAAUACACUUGAUUUGACAUGAAUUCAUAAUUAUCAUCACAUUGUUUAUUCUAAGCUAAUUUUAUUCAGAAGGUAAUUCCUGGUGGCAUAGUGGGUUUAACAACGGUGUGUAUUUGGUCAUAAAGGACAAGAUGUCAUAGAGCUACAAUAGGAUUGUAUCUCAUUGCAUACAGUUUUUGAGUGAAGAUAAACCACUCAAAUUAUUUUUUUUUUUUUUUUGCAUUAAAAUGACAUGAAUUCCUUCAAUGGAAUAUUUCAUAAAAAUAAUAAUAAAAACAACAACAACAUGGAUUGAGAGAAGGGGGGCUGGAGAGGUAGGGGUGUAAAUAAAGCUGGUAAAAUGUGCAAUAAAACUAUAGAUAUAAGGAAAUGUUCAUAUCAUCUGCGAGGUGGACACAACACAUACAUACAUAUAUAUAUAUAUAUAUAUAUAUAUGUAUAUAUAGAAAGGAAUAUUGAUAAGCGUUAUAGAUCUGUUAUCUCCCAACACAUGAUAGAUCUGUUAUCUCCCAACACAUAAUAUAUCUCAGUUAUCUCCCAACACAUAAUAUAUCUCUGUUAUCUCCCAACACAUGAUAGAUCUCAGUUAUCUCCCAACACAUGAUAGAUCUCAGUUAUCUCCCAACACAUAAUAUAUCUCAGUUAUCUCCCAACACAUAAUAUAUCUCUGUUAUCUCCCAACACAUGAUAGAUCUCAGUUAUCUCCCAACACAUGAUAGAUCUCAGUUAUCUCCCAACACAUGAUAGAUCUCAGUUAUCUCCCAACACAUGAUAGAUCUCAGUUAUCUCCCAACACAUGAUAGAUCUCAGUUAUCUCCCAACACAUGAUAGAUCUCAGUUAUCUCCCAACACAUGAUAGAUCUCAGUUAUCUCCCAAUAUGGCAUGACAAUAAUAAUAAAACACUGAAGAGCUGAGUUGCACGUUAACAGUGGAUCUUUCCCAAAUGGCACACUAUUCCCUAUAUAGUGCACUACGCUUUACCAAAUGUAGGUCAAAAGUAGUGCACUAUGUAGGGAAUAGUGUGCCAAUAGGGAAUGAACCAGUACAACUGAAGAGCUGCAUCAGUCUGGACGGCUCACAACAUCCUGCAGCUAAAUCAAGACAAGACCGAAGUAAUUCUGGUUGGAACUGAAGCACAGAGAGAAUCUGGACGCACAUUUUAACUCACAGUAAUAAAGAUAAAACACCAAGUAAAAAAAACUAGUUGUUAUUUUAGAUUCUGAACUCAAUUUCUAAUCACACAAUCAGGAAUGUGAACAAGAUAGCUUUUGACCACCUGAGGAACAUUGCCAAGGUGUGGCCGUUUCUCUCUCAGGCUGAAACAGAGAGACUCAUCGCUUUUAUUACAAGCAGACUUGAUUACUGUAAUGCUCUCCUGUCUGGUCUACCCAAGAAAGCCAUUGGUCAACUGUAAAACAUACAGAAUGCUGCAGGGUACUGACCAAGACCAGACGGAGAACACACAUGACACCGGUUUUAAGGUCUCUGUACUGUAAAACAUACAGAAUGCUGCAGCACGGGUACUGACCAAGACCAGACGGAGAACACACAUGACACCAGUUUUGAUUUAAGUUAUGUACCCAGUAGGUCCCUCAGGGCCUCUGGUCUUUUAACUAUCCCAAAGCCAAGCACCAAGAGGCAUGGAGAGACAGCCUUUUAACUAUCCCAAAGCCCAGGACCAAGAGGCAUGGAGAGACAGCCUUUUAACUAUCCCAAAGCCUGGGACCAAGAGGCAUGGAGAGACAGCCUUUAGUUACUAUGCCCCCAGCCUUUAGUUACUAUGCCCCCAGCCUUUAGUUACUAUGCCCCCAGCCUCUAGUUACUAUGCCUUUAGUUACUAUGCCUUUAGUUACUAUGCUCCCAGUCUCUAGUUACUAUGCCCCCAGCCUUUAGUUACUAUGCCCCUAGCCUUUAGUUACUAUGCCUUUAGUUACUAUGCCCCCAGCCUUUAGUUACUAUGCCCCUAGCCUUUAGUUACUAUGCC
Oncorhynchus tshawytscha (Chinook salmon) is the source of this 2490-nucleotide long non-coding RNA. The record is from Ensembl. Lineage: Eukaryota; Metazoa; Chordata; Actinopteri; Salmoniformes; Salmonidae.